CGAAAGAUGGUGAACUAUGCCUGGCCAGGAUGAAGCCAGAGGAAACUCUGGUGGAGGUCCGCAGCGAUUCUGACGUGCAAAUCGAUCGUCGGAGCUGGGUAUAGGGGCGAAAGACUAAUCGAACCAUCUAGUAGCUGGUUCCCUCCGAAGUUUCCCUCAGGAUAGCUGGAACUCGUUGGAUGAAUUUCAUCCGGUAAAGCGAAUGAUUAGAGGUCUUGGGGACGAAACGCCCUCAACCUAUUCUCAAACUUUAAAUGGGUGAGAUGCCAAGCUUGCUUAAAAUGUGAUGAAUGUGAAGCUUUGGCGAUUAAUCUGAGUAUCUAGUGGGCCACUUUU
Molecule: ribosomal RNA, 336 nt
Filed under: Munidopsis dispar
Lineage: Eukaryota; Metazoa; Arthropoda; Malacostraca; Decapoda; Munidopsidae
Description: partial large subunit ribosomal RNA
Rfam family: Eukaryotic large subunit ribosomal RNA
Source: RNAcentral